Molecule: long non-coding RNA, 906 nt
Filed under: Heterocephalus glaber (naked mole-rat)
Lineage: Eukaryota; Metazoa; Chordata; Mammalia; Rodentia; Bathyergidae
Description: lncRNA (ENSHGLG00100046701.1)
Source: RNAcentral
GAAAGGAAGAGCAGAGCUGAAGAAGACAAGCCGAAGAGACAGCCACAGGAGGGCUACAGCAGGGCCGCCUCUCCCUUCUACAACCACAAGCAAGUACAGCUGCUUCCAGACGAGAUCCUGGUGGAAGCAAAGAACGUGGAGCAGCUGGUGUCCCUUUGGAAGGAGGCCCAGGCCUGCUUCUAUUACAGGAGCUGGCUCACCAUCCCUGAGGCCCAGCUGGUGGUGCUGUCCUACCUGAUGCUGCUGCACACAGCCACAUGGCAGAUCUUGGGCAUCCAGCUGCAGGUCAUCAUCAUCCUGAUCAACACCAACACUGGCGUCCAUGGCAUGGAGGUCAGCGAGUCCCAGGUGCCUUGGCCUGCGUGGUCCCAUGGGGAGACAUCAGGCAGAACCCCAACACAUGGAGCCUCUCACAGACAGGGACAGAGCUGGAGACCAUCAGUGACUUCCUCUUUCAGAGCUGGGUAGACAACAUCAAGCCGUUCAAGGUCCCGGCCACCUCCUCAUGGCUGGGUGCCUUUCACAGGUGCAGCGGUAGUGCGAGAAGAGUAAGGCCAGCAGGAAGGUAGAGCCCCUUCCCAGCCCCCUCUGCCCUAACUCCUACCUCAGAGACCCUGGCUCCUCUCUGUCUGUGCUCCCCUGGUUGGGGAGGGUGUGAGGCACAGUCAUCUGGAGUCCCUGCAUCAUGUUGUCACCCUCUCUCCUCUUGACCAGCUCUGUCGCUUCAUGGAAUACUGUGCCACUGUCCUGCCACCCCAGGAGCAGUCCCCACUGGCAGGGCUCCGGCACUUCCUGCAGAGCCUCCAGCCCAAGUUGACCAAGGCUCCUGCUGCCCCCUGGAGGAGGUGAGGCCAGGCCACUUGGGUCACGUCCCAGCUGAUGCACAUUAAAAGCUUCCUCACAGCC